Long non-coding RNA from Cygnus olor (mute swan), 2127 nucleotides. RefSeq lists it as uncharacterized. NCBI's taxonomy places the organism in Eukaryota, Metazoa, Chordata, Aves, Anseriformes, Anatidae. The record is from RefSeq and is a predicted model, not a curated record. The transcript has 3 exons.
UUUGAGUAUUACCAAGAAAUGGAAGUCUGGAACAUGUUAAAUAUCAAUAUUAAUUAAUGAGUCUUGGACACAUACAGGAAAUUGCCUUAAACCUCCAACCUUUUGAAAACAUCUUCAAGUGGGAUUACUGACAUAAAGGAUUUGAUCUAAUUAUCAGUGCUAAUUUCCUUUAUGAUGGUGGUAGCAACACUUGUUAAAAAGGCGCAGUCAAGAUUAGUCACCUACAGUAUUAUGUUAAUCCCUUAUCUGUAUUACUAAUAUUUUAAAUCUUUCAGAAAUUAUCACCACCAGUGCUGCUUCACAGUUUAUUCAGCGUAGGCAAUUAGAUGGCUCAAUUUUCUCAUCCUGAUGUGCUGGUUUGAGGGCUUUGUUUCUUGAAGCUUUCUUCCCCGGAAAUUGGCAUUAUUGGUUACACUUUUCCAGCCUUUGUGUGAUUUGAAAUGCUAGCUGUACACUAUAAGGGUAGAAGGCAGGUAGAUAGAUUGAAAUGAUUUAGCAAGAUUAUGUGUUCUUCCCUCUGGCUUAGCCAUUAGAGGUAAGCAAACUCUGUGGAAAUAAACAAAAUCCAAGAAAAUGGUGAUGAGGGGGAAGGAGAAUAAUGACCAAAAAAUAAAUAAAUAAAGGCAUCUGUGGGAAGAUACAGCACCUUCAUCUCACCGAUGAGAUUUUUUUUUUAAGGCAUGCAUGAAAUAAGCAGUUGUGAUGGGGCCUGGGAGCUCAAAGCCUGGCACUUUUUACCAGGAUGGAGCAAGGACGUCUUGUGGAGGUGGUGGGAGCUAUGUGCUCCUCAAACACUGUGUAGUGUUGGGAAGGAGAGACAGGCUCUCCUAGCUUCCUGGGGAGCAGUUAGUGCUAGACUGUCAGUCACCAUGCCUUAGCAGGCCAAAUUCUCUGAGAAAAGAAAGCCCCUGAGGUCUUGGAUGCUCUUUGAGCCCCAGUAUCUGCCAAAAGAACAUGUAGUCUCAGGAAGGCUCCUGAAGGAACCGACCAGCUCAGUCCCCUCUGAGCCUUCAGCCUUGGGAACAGAGAAAACUCAGCUGACAACUUGCUGCCUCCGCUGCUGACACAGAGAAAUGCUACCUAUCUGUGCAGUUCAUUAUCUGCUACUUGGAUCUUAGUGAGUAAAGUUGCUGCUGAAGAAAUCCCAUAGUCACCAGUGUCAUAACAGACAGCACAACAUGCUAUCAGCCCUUAAAUGUCCAACUCAUCAACACAAAUUGGUUCUUCUGAACAGCAAUCGCAUGCAGAGAUCAGGUUUCCCUUGACAAUCCUUUUUUCUCUUCUGUCCUGAUUUUCUUUCUCAUACACUUUGAAUGAUCAAGUGAUCUCUUCUUACAUAGAUCUUCUAGUAUUUUAAUUGGCACACAGUCCGCAUCUGGAAACAAAUGUCUUGUAUUGGUGCUUUGAUUUGUUUCUAAUGCUGUUUAUUGACAACUGUUUCUGGGUAAUGAUCUAAACCUCUGCAGUGCUUUUAUAUAAACACACGAUGCUUUGAUAGGGAAUAACGGGCUGGGACAGGGCAGCUGGCAGGCUUUGAUUCAGCCAUUGUGCCUACAGGUACAGGACCUAUCACCUGCUCCUGAGCAGACAGCAAUUAAAAAAGUACCACUUUUUAGAGAGCUGUCUCACUGCUGCGCAUCAAAACAAUUGAGCAAUAAAGGGCAAUGCACGAGAGAAAUGUGAGAAAACCUGGCAAAUUCCUGUGUGACAGUGACACCCAUUCAUAGUUCUGCAAAUUGGCAAAUAAAGGUGAUAAUAACAAUAAUAAUAAAAAAGGAACAAAGAUGGUGAAUCACAAAAAAGCACUUGAUCUUGAAAAUUGCUAAUUGUCUAUACCUUUCUAAUGUUCUGGAGCAGAUUUCAUAAGAGUAAUAAACCUUUGGUAAUGUGGUACCUCUCCCCUGUAAACGUCGAUCUUUGCCGAGCAGAGCAGCAAUAUUAUUGUAGGCAGUGUAAGCUUCUGAAGUGGAAACCACCUUGCCUGAGAAGAGGAGAGGUAUAACGGAGAGGCCAGGCUCUCUUUUAGCAUCAACAUGGCUGAGACUACCAUUUUCUUUAGAGAGAACAGUACACCCAACUCCUGUUCAUCUUGGAAAAAACAAUGACAAUAAAAGCAACAAAGCCGUA